AACGAACGCUGGCGGCAGGCCUAACACAUGCAAGUCGAACGCAUCGCAAGAUGAGUGGCAGACGGGUGAGUAACGCGUGGGAACCUUCCCAAUGGUGCGGAAUAGCUCAGGGAAACUUGGGGUAAUACCGCAUAAGCCCGAAAGGGGAAAGAUUUAUCGCCAUUGGAUGGGCCCGCGUCGGAUUAGCUAGUUGGUGAGGUAACGGCUCACCAAGGCGACGAUCCGUAGCUGGUCUGAGAGGAUGAUCAGCCACACUGGGACUGAGACACGGCCCAGACUCCUACGGGAGGCAGCAGUGGGGAAUAUUGGACAAUGGGCGAAAGCCUGAUCCAGCCAUGCCGCGUGAGUGACGAAGGCCUUAGGGUUGUAAAGCUCUUUUGGCGGGGACGAUAAUGACGGUACCCGCAGAAUAAGCCCCGGCUAACUUCGUG
RNAcentral lists this ribosomal RNA (431 nucleotides) under uncultured bacterium. Its description in RNAcentral is "bacterial SSU rRNA". It matches the Rfam family "Bacterial small subunit ribosomal RNA", at positions 29 to 507 of the family's 1533-position model. The record is from RNAcentral.